GGAGGGUUCUUCAGGAGGGUUCCUCAGGAGGAACCUUCAGGAGGGUUCUUCAGGAGGGUUUUUCAGGAGGGUUCCUCAGGAGGAACCUUCAGGAGGGUUUUUCAGGAGGGUUCCUCAGGAGGAACCUUCAGGAGGGUUUUUCAGGAGGAACCUUCAGGAGGGUUCCUCAGGAGGGUUCCUCAGGAGGGUUCUUCAGGAGGGUUCCUCAGGAGGAACCUUCAGGAGGGUUUUUCAGGAGGAACCUUCAGGAGGGUUCUUCAGGAGGAACCUUCAGGAGGAACCUUCAGGAGGGACCCUCAGGAGAAACCUUCAGGAGGGUUCCUCAGGAGGAACCUUCAGGAGGGUUCUUCAGGAGGGUUCCUCAGGAGAAACCUUCAGGAGGGUUCCUCAGGAGGGUUCCUCAGGAGGAACCUUCAGGAGGGUUCCUCAGGAGGAACCUUCAGGAGGGUUUUUCAGGAGGGUUUCUCAGGAGGGUUUUUCAGGAGGGUUCCUCGGGAGGGUUCCUCGGGAGGGCCCCUCAGGGGAGGCAGCCCAGACCCUCCGUGGCAGGGNGGAGCUGGGCUGGCCAUGGCAGUGACCAGAGCAGCUCAGUCCUGGCAGGAAUCUGCUCUGCUGGGCAUUCCCAGACAGGAAUCUGCUCUCCUGGGCAUUCCCAGACAGGAAUCUGCUCUCCUGGGCAUUCCCAAGAUUGGCAGGAAUCUGCUCUCCUGGGCAUUCCCAGACAGGAAUCUGCUCUCCUGGGCAUUCCCAGACAGGAGUCUGCUCUGCUGGGCAUUCCCAGGGCUGGAGAUGCCAUCCCACAGCCCAGAGCCAGCUGUUGCUGGGACACAGGGCCAGGUGAUGGGCACAAAGUGUCACCCUGGCUCCUGCCAUGCUCUGGGCAGCGUUUUGUUCUCAUCCAAACACCCCCAUGGUCAGACAUCUCCAGUUUCUAUCCAAGAUUUUGUAUUUGCUGGGUGUAGGGGAAGGCACUUGAGUGUCUGAUGGGCCUCCUUGGGUGGCUCUUUGUGUUUGAAAAACCAAAUUGGGCUGAGCUCAGGGUGCUGGGCAGCCCCUCAGGGCUCACUGGGGACGUGCUGGUGGCUCUGUGCUCCCUGACAGCUCCUGGCUUCCUCCACUUGCACUGAGGGAAAUGAAAGCACAGAGGCCCCGUGUUCUGAGGGUGCUGAUGGAGCACAAAUCACCCAGGGAGGGUGAGGGUGAGGGGGCCUCGCUGCAUCCUGGUCAGGGAACAGAGCUCUGGAUGUUUUUGAUGGAAAAGCACUGAAUUCACUUUUAAUCCAAAGGCCUUUUUAAGCUGAAGCAAUAUUCCCCCAGCAGUGGGGCAGCUGAGAGGUGCAGGGGUGCUCAGCCUUCCCUUCCCUGUCCUUUGUACUUGUGCUCCCCUCCCUUCUCCCUGGGAGCCCAGCACUGGUGGUGGGGAGCAAAACAAUUCCUGGGGGGUUUUCCAAGGAACAGGAGGUGCCCAGG
This 1470-nucleotide long non-coding RNA is filed under the name Zonotrichia albicollis (white-throated sparrow). Its description in RNAcentral is "lncRNA (ENSZALG00000005068.1)". The record is from RNAcentral. Lineage: Eukaryota; Metazoa; Chordata; Aves; Passeriformes; Passerellidae.